This 795-nucleotide ribosomal RNA is filed under the name Narcissea cordispora. RNAcentral's name for it is "eukaryotic LSU rRNA". It matches the Rfam family "Eukaryotic large subunit ribosomal RNA", at positions 73 to 881 of the family's 3401-position model. The record is from RNAcentral. Lineage: Eukaryota; Fungi; Basidiomycota; Agaricomycetes; Agaricales; Psathyrellaceae.
GAUUCCCCUAGUAACUGCGAGUGAAGCGGGAAAAGCUCAAAUUUAAAAUCUGGUGGUCUUCGGCCAUCCGAGUUGUAAUCUAGAGAAGUGUUACCCGCGUCGGACCGUGUACAAGUCUCCUGGAAUGGAGCGUCAUAGAGGGUGAGAAUCCCGUCUUUGACACGGACUACCGAGGCUUUGUGGUGCGCUCUCAAAGAGUCGAGUUGUUUGGGAAUGCAGCUCAAAAUGGGUGGUAAAUUCCAUCUAAAGCUAAAUAUUGGCGAGAGACCGAUAGCGAACAAGUACCGUGAGGGAAAGAUGAAAAGAACUUUGGAAAGAGAGUUAAACAGUACGUGAAAUUGCUGAAAGGGAAACGCUUGAAGUCAGUCGCGUUGGCCGGAAAUCAGCCUUGCUUUAGUGAGGUGUACUUUCUGGUUGACGGGCCAGCAUCAGUUUUGACCGGUGGAAAAAGUCGAGAGGAAGGUGGCAUCUUCGGGUGUGUUAUAGCCUCUCGUCGUAUACAUCGGUUGGGACUGAGGAACGCAGUACUUGUACUUCGGAUGCUGGCAUAAUGGCUUUAAUCGACCCGUCUUGAAACACGGACCAAGGAGUCUAACAUGCCUGCGAGUAUUUGGGUGGAAAACCCGAGUGCGUAAUGAAAGUGAAAGUUGAGAUCCCUGUCGCGGGGAGCAUCGACGCCCGAACCUGAAGUUCUCUGACGGUUCUGCGGUAGAGCAUGUAUGUUGGNNCCCGAAAGAUGGUGAACUAUGCCUGAAUAGGGUGAAGCCAGAGGAAACUCUGGUGGAGGCUCGUAGC